This 399-nucleotide ribosomal RNA is filed under the name uncultured bacterium. RNAcentral's name for it is "bacterial SSU rRNA". It matches the Rfam family "Bacterial small subunit ribosomal RNA", at positions 133 to 518 of the family's 1533-position model. The record is from RNAcentral.
AUAGAUUGGGAUAACUCGGAAACCGGGCUAAUACCGAAUAAUACUUUUAAACACAUGUUUGGAAGUUGAAAGACGGUUUCGGACUGUCACUAUAAGAUGGACCCGCGGCGCAUUAGCUAGUUGGUGAGGUAACGGCUCACCAAGGCAACGAUGCGUAGCCGACCUGAGAGGGUGAUCGGCCACACUGGGACUGAGACACGGCCCAGACUCCUACGGGAGGCAGCAGUAGGGAAUCUUCCACAAUGGACGAAAGUCUGGAUGGAGCAACGCCGCCGUGAGUGAAGAAGGAUUUCGGUUCGUAAAACUCUGUUGCAAGGGAAGAACAAGUAGCGUAGUAACUGGCGCUACCUUGACGGUACCUUGUUAGAAAGCCACGGCUAACUACGUGCCAGCCGCCGC